Long non-coding RNA from Carassius carassius (crucian carp), 726 nucleotides. RefSeq lists it as uncharacterized. Lineage: Eukaryota; Metazoa; Chordata; Actinopteri; Cypriniformes; Cyprinidae. The record is from RefSeq and is a predicted model, not a curated record. The transcript is spliced from 5 exons.
CAGCAGCAAAGGCAUGCAUUAUACUGUCUUAAAACUAGUGUCGUGCUACAAAUGAUGAUUGUCCAGAUUAUCCAGGCAUUUGUGAUACUUUAUCUUAAUAUGUAUUUUACUCACUGCACAGUUCUCCAUCAGCCUGACUCUGUUAUCGCAGUUGACCCUGGUGCCAACGUGACUCUGCAGUGCUUUUUUGCAGAAAACUACAGCAUGUAUGACAUGUUUUGGUACAAACAAAUCAAGGGCCAGCAGCCAUUUGCUAUAGUUAAGGCGGGAGCUGUUGCUGAUCCCAUUUUUCAUAAAGGGUAUUUGAACACACGCUUCAAUAUCAGCAGGUCAAAGAAAAUACUUUCUCUUAGUAUCAUGAACAUUAGUGCCUGGGACGAGGCGGUCUAUUACUGUGGAGUGGAGAUUUACUUUGAUAUUGAGUUUGGAAAUGGGGUAUUCUUACAUAUGUCAUCCUUUAACACUGCAGCUGUAGAUCCAACAGAGAGAGAUUAUCUUAAGGCAGUUGUAAUCUUUCUGUGCAACAUUAUUGGAAUAUGUGCUGUGUGGAUCAUAUUUCUCUGCAUCAGGAUUAAACAACAAAAGGCUUUAUGUCCAGUUUCUUCUGUCUGUAGCCAGUGACAUUUUGAAGUGUCUCAUGCAAAGUCAUAGAUCCAGUUUUUGAGCUAAUCAAGAUCAAAGCCGGAGACAGUGAUGCCCAAUAAGUCAAGAUCAUUCAAGAAGGAA